CUUAAGGAAAAUUGUCUCUUGGCCCCAUUCUCUUGGUUCUUUCCUGAUUUUUCUUUCUAUACAUUUAUCCUUCCUUCUUUACCUCAGGGCGAGUGUCAUACUUAAUAUACAAAACUAUGGUCUUCAUUUAUUUAUUUACUUUCUUAGUUUUGAAGUGCCAGUGAUGGAACCCAGGAUCCAGCACAAGCUGAGCAAGAACUCUACCCCUGAGCUACAACCCUAGACCUGUCCCAUGUUUGAAUUAUUGCAAUUCUAGAAGAAAUUAUCCCUUUAUGAAUACAGACUCUGAAUUCUCUUUUGCUCAGUACAUCCACGGGAAUUAAAAAACAGACAAAAGGAAAAAGAUAAUGGUCUAUCUGAUGAAAAGAGCUUAUGAAGAUGCCAUAUUAGGCACAGGGACAGCUUGACUGAAAAUCCUUAGGAACACCCCUGGUAUAUGAGCACUUCUCUGUUCAGGUGGCAUGGGCUUUUCCUUCUUCACAUAGGCCUAAACCUAUAAUGCAGGUUAAACAUCUCUAGGCAUCUGUACUACUCAACUAUUUAUGGAUGCAUAAUAAACCACUCAAAAACUUAAUGGCCUCACAUAUAAUUAUUUAUUAUUUAUCAGGAUUUUGCUGGACUCAGCUGGGCAGUUGUGCUGUGCAUGGAGCUGGCUGGGGCACUCAUAUGACUAUACUUAAUUGCAUAUUUGACUGGGGUUGGAACAUCCAAGAUAGCAUUUAUAUGUCUGCAGAUGGUGCUGACCAUUAACUGAGGAGCUUCAUGUUCCCUUCACAGGGCCCCUAUUCUUCUAGUCAUCUAGACUGAUUUCCUUAAAAGCAUGGAGGAUGAGGUCCAAAAGAGCAAAAAUUGGACUGCUUCUACCACAUUUUGUUGGUUCAACAAGUGAAAAGGCAAGCCCGUAUUUAAAGGGAGUGAAAAUAGGUUCUACUUCAUGAUGAGAGAAACAUGACCAGGUUGAGAUGUGCAUCUUUAAACACUUGACCACAAUAACUGUCCAUGGAUACUUGAGUAACAAGUUCAGUAGACUAGAACAUAUACCUAUACUCCAACUAGGCAAAACUCCAGAGAAAAGAUACCAGAGCUCAGUCUCACAAUGCUAUUCUUCUAUGAGCAUCCUGGAUGGAUAUCUCCAAAUGAGAACAAUGUGCUCUUUUAUGUCUUAAAAAAAUGAAAAAGAAGCUCUCUGAUAUUAGGGCUAAGCCCACAGUUUCCUAUCACCAAAACUUUUGUCUGCCAAAGGAAAAUGUACCAAUAAGACUUGAUACCCAAUGUCAUAAUGCUUUGGAGCAUCAGUGUUUGACAGAUUUCCCCAAUAACUCUCCAGAUGUUUGGAGCACAGUAAGUUCCAGACUCCAGCUCAUUUUUAGCUCCUGGGGACAAAUAGGAAUUUCCUUAUCAUUUUCUGGAAACUUGGGGUAAGCCAAAGAUAACUGUGGCUAAAGGUGCUGUAAAUGGGUUUCUCUCUGCAAGAACCUCACUAGUUCAAGCUCUAUUCCUUUAUUGACAGAGCACUGAGAAUUUAAAAGUGACAGUUGUUUGAGUAAAUUCUAAUAUAAACAUUGCCCCCAUUCUUUUCAUGUAUCAGAUCAUUAACAAUCAACUAAUAAAAGUGGAGGUAUGACUAAAAAGUUUAAAAAGUAUGAAUAGCCAUGGUCCAUCAUGCUGUCAAAUGCUCAGAGUAUGGACCAAAAAAUGUACCCUGAUUAUUGAAAGGGAGAUUUCAAGUAGACAGUAGGAAGACUAUUGCACUCUUAAAUUUUGGAAUGGAAGACCAAGAGCUAUUUGACCUAUUUAGCAGAGUUUUAAGAAUACAUUAGGUAAUAGGUACUAAGUCAUCUUGGCCAAUGACCCUGCAGGAGUUCAGAGGGGAUGUAUUUUCUGACUUUUGCAAAUC
This 1897-nucleotide long non-coding RNA is filed under the name Marmota monax (woodchuck). The record is from RNAcentral. Lineage: Eukaryota; Metazoa; Chordata; Mammalia; Rodentia; Sciuridae.